Molecule: unclassified non-coding RNA, 278 nt
Filed under: uncultured fungus
Lineage: Eukaryota; Fungi
Also listed under: 1 other name
Description: partial contains 5.8S ribosomal RNA, internal transcribed spacer 2, and large subunit ribosomal RNA
Rfam family: 5.8S ribosomal RNA (bases 1-52)
Source: RNAcentral
AACGCACAUUGCGCCCUAUGGUAUUCCAUAGGGCAUACCUGUUUGAGCGUUAGCUCCCCACCCUUCUCAAGCAUUAUUUUAUAAUGUUUGGAUUUAUUUGGAGAGGCACCUCUGUCAUGGAGGUACCCUUCAGAAAUGAAUAUGGCAGUAUAGUUUAUACCUGAACUAGGCGUAAUAAUAAUAAAGUCGCUGAGUUUAAUCAUAUUUAUACUUGCCUGAACCCACCCAUUGUUAAAUCGGGUAACCUCAAAUCAGGUAGGGAUACCCGCUGAACUUAA